RNAcentral lists this ribosomal RNA (819 nucleotides) under Bacillus subtilis. Its description in RNAcentral is "bacterial SSU rRNA". It matches the Rfam family "Bacterial small subunit ribosomal RNA", at positions 557 to 1376 of the family's 1533-position model. Lineage: Bacteria; Bacillati; Bacillota; Bacilli; Caryophanales; Bacillaceae. The record is from RNAcentral.
GGCGUAAAGGGCUCGCAGGCGGUUUCUUAAGUCUGAUGUGAAAGCCCCCGGCUCAACCGGGGAGGGUCAUUGGAAACUGGGGAACUUGAGUGCAGAAGAGGAGAGUGGAAUUCCACGUGUAGCGGUGAAAUGCGUAGAGAUGUGGAGGAACACCAGUGGCGAAGGCGACUCUCUGGUCUGUAACUGACGCUGAGGAGCGAAAGCGUGGGGAGCGAACAGGAUUAGAUACCCUGGUAGUCCACGCCGUAAACGAUGAGUGCUAAGUGUUAGGGGGUUUCCGCCCCUUAGUGCUGCAGCUAACGCAUUAAGCACUCCGCCUGGGGAGUACGGUCGCAAGACUGAAACUCAAAGGAAUUGACGGGGGCCCGCACAAGCGGUGGAGCAUGUGGUUUAAUUCGAAGCAACGCGAAGAACCUUACCAGGUCUUGACAUCCUCUGACAAUCCUAGAGAUAGGACGUCCCCUUCGGGGGCAGAGUGACAGGUGGUGCAUGGUUGUCGUCAGCUCGUGUCGUGAGAUGUUGGGUUAAGUCCCGCAACGAGCGCAACCCUUGAUCUUAGUUGCCAGCAUUCAGUUGGGCACUCUAAGGUGACUGCCGGUGACAAACCGGAGGAAGGUGGGGAUGACGUCAAAUCAUCAUGCCCCUUAUGACCUGGGCUACACACGUGCUACAAUGGACAGAACAAAGGGCAGCGAAACCGCGAGGUUAAGCCAAUCCCACAAAUCUGUUCUCAGUUCGGAUCGCAGUCUGCAACUCGACUGCGUGAAGCUGGAAUCGCUAGUAAUCGCGGAUCAGCAUGCCGCGGUGAAUACGUUCCCG